Molecule: long non-coding RNA, 661 nt
Filed under: Calidris pugnax (ruff)
Lineage: Eukaryota; Metazoa; Chordata; Aves; Charadriiformes; Scolopacidae
Description: lncRNA (ENSCPUG00000000045.1)
Source: RNAcentral
GUUCAUUUGCAACACCUUUUUUUUUUUUAAUUUGUGUUCUUGGUGGUUUUUUUAAGUGAACUUUCCUUUACACACUUUCCCCGCUGUUAUUUUCUUUUAAAUUUAAUUCUCUUUAGCUUCACACUCCCUGCUUUCUAAGAACUUCUGCGUCAGUCAGAAAGGAGGAAGUGAAACCCAUUAAUUAGAUGAAUAAAGCAGAAUUAGUCCUGCCAGGAAACUGAGCUUCCCGCCUCCGCAGAAGCGCCCAGUGUCGGGUCCCUCCUGGAGCACCCACCAGUAAGUGGUCCUGGUAAGAAUUUGGGGCAGAACUCUACUUGUAAGGAUUUGGAGCCUGGUUGAAGCUUGUCAUCUGGGAUGCCUCGUGAACAGUGGAGAAAGGAGGUCUCUGCAGGAAGCACUCAUCCCGUUUAUCUCGGGUGCAUCAGGGUGGGAUAAAUCAUCUCCUGAUGGUGCCCAUCCUUCUCCAUAACUGGACAGCCUAUGUGGACUCUACAGACUAGAGAUCAAACAACUCCUCAGGGCAGCAGUAACUUACAGACCACAGCUUUUUUCUGACCAAGCCUAUCCCUGCUGACUGAAUGCUAGGAAUCACGACGGAGAAGAUUUCCUGGCUGUUAAAGCUUUAAGGCUAGACAAGGAAUAAAUGUAAGUCUCUGUGUCA